GACGAACGCUGGCGGCGUGCUUAACACAUGCAAGUCGAACGGAAAGGCCCUGCUUGUGUGGGGUGCUCGAGUGGCGAACGGGUGAGUAACACGUGAGUAACCUGCCCUUGACUUUGGGAUAACUUCAGGAAACUGGGGCUAAUACCGGAUAGGAGCUCCUGCGGCAGGGUGGGGGUUGGAAAGUUUCGGCGGUUGGGGAUGGACUGGCGGCUUAUCAGCUUGUUGGUGGGGUAGUGGCUUACCAAGGCUUUGACGGGUAGCCGGCCUGAGAGGGUGGCCGGCCACCUUGGGACUGAGAUACGGCCCAGACUCCUACGGGAGGCAGCAGUGGGGAAUAUUGCACAAUGGGCGGACGCCUGAUGCAGCAACGCCGCGUGCGGGAUGACGGCCUUCGGGUUGUAAACCGCUUUCGCCUGUGACGAAGCGUGAGUGACGGUAAUGGGUAAAGAAGCACCGGCUAACUACGUG
RNAcentral lists this ribosomal RNA (468 nucleotides) under uncultured bacterium. RNAcentral describes it as "partial 16S ribosomal RNA". It matches the Rfam family "Bacterial small subunit ribosomal RNA", at positions 28 to 507 of the family's 1533-position model. The record is from RNAcentral.